Molecule: ribosomal RNA, 166 nt
Filed under: uncultured Flammeovirgaceae bacterium
Lineage: Bacteria; Pseudomonadati; Bacteroidota; Cytophagia; Cytophagales; Flammeovirgaceae
Description: partial 23S ribosomal RNA
Rfam family: Bacterial large subunit ribosomal RNA
Source: RNAcentral
GAGAAAGUUACUAAGAGCGUAUGGGGGAUGCCUAGGCUCUCAGAGGCGAAGAAGGACGUGAUAAGCUGCGAUAAGCCACGGGGAUCAGCACAUAUGAAUUGAUCCGUGGAUUUCCGAAUGGGGCAACCCGGCUACUUGAAGAGUAGCCACCGAAAGGGGCAAACCC